UGAACCGGGGGAACCUGACAGCAAUGCCGCGUGAGUGAAGAAGGCCUUCGGGUUGUAAAGCUCUUUUGUCAGGGAAGAAACACCGGCUCUAACACAGUCCGGGAAUGACGGUACCUGAAGAAUAAGCACCGGCUAACUACGUGCCAGCAGCCGCGGUAAUACGUAGGGUGCAAGCGUUAAUCGGAAUUACUGGGCGUAAAGCGUGCGCAGGCGGUUAUACAAGACAGGCGUGAAAUCCCCGGGCUUAACCUGGGAAUGGCGCCUGUGACUGUAUAGCUAGAGUGUGUCAGAGGGGGGUAGAAUUCCACGUGUAGCAGUGAAAUGCGUAGAUAUGUGGAGGAAUACCAAUGGCGAAGGCAGCCCCCUGGGAUAACACUGACGCUCAUGCACGAAA
Molecule: ribosomal RNA, 394 nt
Filed under: uncultured bacterium
Lineage: Bacteria
Description: bacterial SSU rRNA
Rfam family: Bacterial small subunit ribosomal RNA
Source: RNAcentral